GACGAACGCUGGCGGCGUGCUUAACACAUGCAAGUCGAACGGAAAGGCCCUGCUUUUGUGGGUUGCUCGAGUGGCGAACGGGUGAGUAACACGUGAGUAACCUGCCCUUGUCUUUGGGAUAACUUCAGGAAACUGGGGCUAUUACCGGAUAGGAUCUCCUGCUGCAUGGUGGGGGUUGGAAAGUUUCGGCGGUUGGGGAUGGACUCGCGGCUUAUCAGCUUGUUGGUGGGGUAGUGGCUUACCAAGGCUUUGACGGGUAGCCGGCCUGAGAGGGUGACCGGCCACAUGGGGACUGAGAGACGGCCCAGAAUCCUACGGGAGGCAGCAGUGGGGAAUAUUGCACAAUGAGCGGGAGCCAGAGGCAGAAGCGCCGGGAGCGGGAUGACGGGCUUCGGGUGGUAAACCGAUGUCGAAUGUGACGAAGAGGGAGUGACGGUAAUGGGUAAAGAAGCACCGGCUAACUACGUG
RNAcentral lists this ribosomal RNA (468 nucleotides) under uncultured bacterium. RNAcentral describes it as "partial 16S ribosomal RNA". It matches the Rfam family "Bacterial small subunit ribosomal RNA", at positions 28 to 507 of the family's 1533-position model. The record is from RNAcentral.